UGUUUGUGUGAUCUCAUCCUAGCC
RNAcentral lists this non-coding RNA (24 nucleotides) under Rattus norvegicus (Norway rat). The record is from RNAcentral. Lineage: Eukaryota; Metazoa; Chordata; Mammalia; Rodentia; Muridae.